GGCUUGGGUCACUACCAGCCUCACUGAGGGCGCCUGUGAAAGAAUCCCAUCAUACCUUGGAUUUUGGUGCUGUCAGUCUGAAAAGCAGAUGUACCUGUUUGGUACUCUAGAGGGAAUGUCCUUCCCUGAAUGAAAAAGCUGGGCCAUUUGGGGAUUUGGAGAAUAAAGCCCACGCUCCGGAUCCAGGUAGCCGACUUCAGAAGCGGGAGUACGGUGAAAGUGCCUCAGCCUCUUGUGGGAUCACCCUUUUCCCCGGAGCACCUGGCAUUAGGGCUGGAACAAGCUGCUCCCACUGGGAAUGCAGACAAGGGCUGAUGGGACUCUAGUCAUUGGCGGGACGAGCUGCGAGCUGGGAGCACCAUCUCUUGCUGCCGCAGCCGUGAACAUGAACGGUAUUGCCUUCAUUCUGUGAAUGGAAGAGCGGCCUGACCCAUCAGUCUGGGGGUGACGGGAAAGGAGCGUCCCCAGAAUUCAGCUGCUGGGAGUAGGCAGAUGGCGCAGGGGUGGGUGCUGAGCUUCCGAGGAGCAGCGUGGUGAACACCCUGGCAGGGCUGGUCUGUGCUGGGGCCUCCGAGAAAGGCGUGCACGCUGUGCUGGUGCGUGUGGUUCUGGCCGCCGGAGGACACCGUCGUUCCACCGGGGGCCUGUCUGCCGGCACCCCUGCCGUCUGUGAGCCUGGGUCCUGGAACAGAGGUUGUCAGGCUGUGAUUUUAGCAGAGUCCUGAGCUCCUGUGGAGAUUUGCCUCUAUCCAACCUUGGGCUAUCUGUAUUCCUGAACAUCUCUGGGCCCAGAAGGAAAAGAAGAAUGCUGACCAGCUCUGGGGAUGGCCUGAAUGAGGAGAGGUGAGAGAACUGCUCAGACAUGUUAAGUAACUCAGCAGAGGUCACACAGCUAAGGGACACAGAGGAACGUACCAAGCAGUGAAGGCCAUUUUUCAUCACUGCUGUCCUCCACGAGCUUACGUCUGGAAUGGGAGUCAUCUUUGCACUAAUGAACGGGUUGGAUGGAGCCCAGAAAACACUUGGCACAGGUAGCAUUGACCCAGAGAGAAGUGAAUCCUUGUGUCCAGUGACUAGAAGACACACGAACCUGGAAAAAGGAGCCCAGGAGAUUGCUGUGUUUCCCCCACAUAGGAGAACACCCACCCUCUCCUGCCCCUCGCCCGUAACACAUGACACAUUUAGCAGUGAUUUAGUCACUGCUGAGCUAUCUUCAUUCAAUGUGAUUUUGGCAGAAGAGUUGGUCUGAAAAUUGUAUUUUCAAUUAAACUUCCUUGUUGAGCUGC
Lontra canadensis (Northern American river otter) is the source of this 1286-nucleotide long non-coding RNA. RefSeq lists it as uncharacterized. The transcript has 6 exons. NCBI's taxonomy places the organism in Eukaryota, Metazoa, Chordata, Mammalia, Carnivora, Mustelidae. The record is from RefSeq and is a predicted model, not a curated record.